RNAcentral lists this ribosomal RNA (740 nucleotides) under Variospora velana. RNAcentral's name for it is "eukaryotic LSU rRNA". The stretch from base 413 to 566 matches the Rfam family "5.8S ribosomal RNA". The record is from RNAcentral. Lineage: Eukaryota; Fungi; Ascomycota; Lecanoromycetes; Teloschistales; Teloschistaceae.
UCGUAGGGGUCAACAAUCAGCUGCUACAUGCCYCWYUAUGUAGUUCACAGAUCAAACGCGAGKGGCCUCAUAUUCUCCCUUUUCCGUCUUCGUAUGAUGCUAGCUUGAAAGACGAGCUCGGAACUGGGGGAUUAAAAGGUUAAGAUAUGACCGUAGCAGCUCUGCGAGGAGUUUGAUAUUCUAGUUCCGUAGGUGAACCUGCGGAAGGAUCAUUAUCGAGAGGGGGGGCCCUGCGCCCCAGGGGCUUGCCCCGCACCUUUCCACCCUUUGUGUAUCUUCCACCGUUGCUUUGGCGGACCCCGGGGUUUACCCCCCGGCGCCGGCCCUGUAACAGGGGCGGGCGAGCGCCCGCCAGAGGCCCAUCAAAAACUUUUUAUGUCAGUGUAGUCUGAGUUUACGAAUAAUCAAUCAAAACUUUCAACAACGGAUCUCUUGGUUCUGGCAUCGAUGAAGAACGCAGCGAAAUGCGAUAAGUAAUGUGAAUUGCAGAAUUCAGUGAAUCAUCGAAUCUUUGAACGCACAUUGCGCCCUUUGGUAUUCCGAAGGGCAUGCCUGUUCGAGCGUCAUUACACCCCUCAAGCAUUGCUUGGUAUUGGGCGUUCGCCCCCCGGCUCCGGGGUGCGCGCCCGAAAUUCAGUGGCGGUCCAGGUAGACUUCAAGCGCAGUAGACCUAUGUUCGCUUUGGAAGCCUUCUGCCUGCGGCCCGCCAGCGAAACCUUUGUACCCCCAAUCAUGACCUG